GCCCCCAUAACUCAAUGGUAGAGUAGCGGACUCUUAAUCCUUAAAUCCAGGUCCAAAUCCUGGUGGGGGCACCA
This 74-nucleotide transfer RNA is filed under the name bacterium. RNAcentral describes it as "tRNA-Lys". It matches the Rfam family "tRNA". From Rfam's summary of the family: Transfer RNA (tRNA) molecules are approximately 80 nucleotides in length. The record is from RNAcentral.